AGUGAACGCUGGCGGUAGGCCUAACACAUGCAAGUCGAACGGCAGCACAGUAAGAGCUUGCUCUUACGGGUGGCGAGUGGCGGACGGGUGAGGAAUACAUCGGAGUCUACUUUUUCGUGGGGGAUAACGUAGGGAAACUUACGCUAAUACCGCAUACGACCUACGGGUGAAAGCAGGGGAUCUUCGGACCUUGCGCGAUUGAAUGAGCCGAUGUCGGAUUAGCUAGUUGGCGGGGUAAAGGCCCACCAAGGCGACGAUCCGUAGCUGGUCUGAGAGGAUGAUCAGCCACACUGGAACUGAGACACGGUCCAGACUCCUACGGGAGGCAGCAGUGGGGAAUAUUGGACAAUGGGCGCAAGCCUGAUCCAGCCAUACCGCGUGGGUGAAGAAGGCCUUCGGGUUGUAAAGCCCUUUUGUUGGGAAAGAAAAGCGGCAGGUUAAUACCCCGCUGUUCUGACGGUACCCAAAGAAUAAGCACCGGCUAACUUCGUG
This 492-nucleotide ribosomal RNA is filed under the name uncultured bacterium. Its description in RNAcentral is "partial 16S ribosomal RNA". It matches the Rfam family "Bacterial small subunit ribosomal RNA", at positions 29 to 507 of the family's 1533-position model. The record is from RNAcentral.